Molecule: ribosomal RNA, 492 nt
Filed under: uncultured bacterium
Lineage: Bacteria
Description: partial 16S ribosomal RNA
Rfam family: Bacterial small subunit ribosomal RNA
Source: RNAcentral
AGUGAACGCUGGCGGUAGGCCUAACACAUGCAAGUCGAACGGCCACCUUCUAAUAUCUUGCUCUUACGGGUGGCUAGUGGCUGACGGGUUACGCAUCCAUUCGGAUCUACUCUUUCGUAGUGGAUCUCGUAGGGGAUCUUACCCUAAUACCGCAUACUUCCUACGGGUGAAAGCAGGGGAUCUUCGUUCCUUGCGCGGUUGAGUGAGCCGAUGUCGAAUUAGCUAGUUGGCGGGGUAAAGGCCCACUGAUGCGCCGAUCCGUAGCUGGUCUGAGAGGAUGAUCCGGCAGACUGGAACUGAGACACGGCCCAGACACCUACGGGAGGACGCAGUGGGGAAUAUUGGACAAUGGGGGAAAGCCUGAUACAGCAAUACCGCGUGGGUGAAGAAGGAGUUAGGGUUGGAAAGCCAUUAUGUUGGGAAAGAAAAGAAGCAGGUUAAUACGGCGCUGUACUGACGGUACCGAAAGAAUAAGCACCGGCUAACUUCGUG